Molecule: ribosomal RNA, 468 nt
Filed under: uncultured bacterium
Lineage: Bacteria
Description: partial 16S ribosomal RNA
Rfam family: Bacterial small subunit ribosomal RNA
Source: RNAcentral
GACGAACGCUGGCCGCGUGCUUAACACAUGCAAGUCGAACGGAAAGGCCCUGCUUUUGUGGGGUGCUCGAGUGGCGAACGGGUGAGUAACACGUGAGUAACCUGCCCUUGACUUUGGGAUAACUUCAGGAAACUGGGGCUAAUACCGGAUAGGAGCUCCUGCUGCAUGGUGGGGGUUGGAAAGUUUCGGCGGUUGGGGAUGGACUCGCGGCUUAUCAGCUUGUUGGUGGGGUAGUGGCUUACCAAGGCUUUGACGGGUAGCCGGCCUGAGAGGGUGACCGGCCACAUUGGGACUGCGAUACGGCCCAGACUGCUACGGGAGGCAGCAGUGGGGAAUAUUGCGCAAUGGGCGGAAGCCUGAUGCAGCAACGCCGCGUGCGGGAUGACGGCCUUCGGGUUGUAAACCGCUUUCGCCUGUGACGAAGCGUGAGUGACGGUAAUGGGUAAAGAAGCACCGGCUAACUACGUG